This 72-nucleotide transfer RNA is filed under the name Bos taurus (domestic cattle). It matches the Rfam family "tRNA". From Rfam's summary of the family: Transfer RNA (tRNA) molecules are approximately 80 nucleotides in length. The record is from Rfam by way of RNAcentral. Lineage: Eukaryota; Metazoa; Chordata; Mammalia; Artiodactyla; Bovidae.
UCCCUGGUGGCUCAGCUGGUAAAGAAUCUACCUGCAAUGUGGGAGACCUGGGUUCGAUCCCUGGCUUGGGAA